CCUAACCCGAAAUUUCUUUUUCUCUGUCGCCUCUCUCUCCUUUAGCAGAAGAGUGGACGAUGAUGUUCUGGGAUUGAGCUUCACCAAGGAGAAAGCAAAGGCAGCAAAGCAUUUUUUUAUGAUGAUGAUACAGGAGAUUUCUUGCUAUUUUGAUCUGGAGCUUGGGAAAAUCAAGACUAAACGUUUUGCUGCAAGAGAGUGUAAUGGUGGACGACAUGAUUGGCACAACAGGAACCAUAAGCAAAGGUGUGGCUCUGUCACUUAUGCUUAAAGAUAGCUUACGUAUCUGAUCCUCAUACUGUGGAACAGGAAGAGGUAGGUCAAAAACUUUAUCCCAAACAAAAAGCGGGUCUUCUACUAAUGUUUUUGAUGAAGUUUGGAAUCAAUGGAAAAGCAUGCGUUUUAAGAACUCAGUUUCGGAUAUGUUGAUUUGGAGGUGAUAGCUAUACAACAGGUCAAGAGUUCAAUUAAAGAGAGGUGUUGACAUUGUUGUUAGAAUCCUUGGUCGUAUGAAGUGGAUGCUUCAAAUUCCUGGGGUAACCAGUUACAUGGGAUCCAUUGGAAAUGAUAAAUACAAAGAGGCAAUGAAGAAGGAUGUACAACAGCUGGUGUCAAUGUUCACCAUCAUGAAGAUGAGUCGUCAUCAACCGGAACUUGCGGUAUUUAUGUUGUUAAUGGAGAAAAAUCUUUUCAAUGGUCUUGGAAAACCAGCAGAAAAAUUGAAAUGAUGCACUACGCUAAGUGAGUUUAUUUUUGGUUGUUUUAAAAGUUAUUGUAAGUUUGAAGCAAUAAUAGGUUGUUUGGUCUUAAAGUUAAGCUUAGAUAGUAGCUAUAUUGUGCCUCUAAGAUUAACCGCUGAACUCAAGAUCAGAGAUGAUACUUCUCUAUUCUGUUUUCCAUAUUAUCCGCUCUGUACCUCAAAAUUAGAAUUUUAGUAAUUUAGUCAGUUUUGUUUUCUAGAAUUUUAAAUGAGCUUUACCUUUAUCAAAAUUUUUUGAGAUUUCCAACUGAUGAAAGUAUCAUUAGCUUAUCGAUCUUGUGGUCACCGAGAGGUUUGCUCUACAUGUGUCGUUCGUCUCCGUUUCGUCCUUAGGGAUCCUAUAUGUUGUAUCUGUAAGACCGAGUCUCCUAUCUUCUUCGUCACCAAGGGUGAUUAAUCACUGUUUACUCUUCAAUUGUAUCUAUGUUACCAAUGUUAUCGCAAUUAUCUUUUAUUUUCAUCUAAUAAUAUAAAACUUUGGCUGAGAUUAUUUCUUCUAUUACAAUUACUUAAAUAGUGAAGAACUUUUUGUAAAUUUUUCAACUUUGUCUAACUCAAUAGUUCAUCUAUGUCUCCCACUGAAUUGCUGAUAAGGGAUUUUAUGAUUACAAUUUGCAGGCAUUGGGUGAUUAUACAAGGACAAAAAAUGAUUCUCCACAUUGCUCUUCAUUUGAAGUUACUGUUCUUUAACCAUUUUUUUUCCUUAUGAUUAUUCUCUUUCAGGUAAACUGUGUGACUGUGUUUCCCAGAAGUUUAGAAACGGAUCACAGAGAGAUGAUGAAUAACUCGGUGCUGCUUUGAUUUAUCUCAAGAGAUUUUAGUUACUGUAUAAGCUCUAUUUUGCAAUGGGAUAGUUUGGAGGCGCUUGUGAAAUUGUGGAAGAGAAGGAUGAUGAAGUAAGAUUGCCAAAACAUUCCGGGAGAUAUGGUAAAUCUGUUAUGGGAUCAUCGAGUAAAGAUUCGGAGCGGAAGCCGCGAGAGUAUCAUGGCUCUCUUGAGUAUGACAUUGAUAAGCUUUUUCAGUCUAUUUCUGUGAAACCAUCAUCAACGAGGUUGAUGAGUUCUUCUUUCCAUCUUUGGAAUGUUACUGUCAAUCGGUGGGAUGUGUUUUAGUCUUGAUGAUGUGAAUAAGGAUUUCUUCUUAGUCUAAUGCAAGACUAUUGUUGCUGGCCUAGAAGUUUUGUAGUGAAUCAUAGUUAGUUAAGGGGAUAAAGGUGUAAAGCUGAGCUAGGUGAAAGUGUCACGGUAUUGGUUGGCGAUUAGGUCAGAUGACUAAGCAUAUGUACUGUAAAAAUUUCAAUCUUUGAUAAAUUGCAGGCGAUGGAAGGAAACAAACACAUGAAGAGCAUUGCCUGUUUGUUGAAUCCUUUUUUACUUUAUAUGCUUAGCUUGAGCAUAAUGUUACGCAUAAACUCUCUUCUUUUUCUGUAAUUCCUAAGGUCCGAUUGUACUUUCAUUUACUUUGUACUCUAUGUAGCUUUGAACCAAAAAGAACUUGAUUAUUUAUUAUUAUCACA
This is a non-coding RNA of Camelina sativa (false flax), 2276 nucleotides long. The record is from RefSeq and is a predicted model, not a curated record. Lineage: Eukaryota; Viridiplantae; Streptophyta; Magnoliopsida; Brassicales; Brassicaceae.